This 532-nucleotide ribosomal RNA is filed under the name Bombus vestalis. RNAcentral describes it as "partial 16S ribosomal RNA". The stretch from base 380 to 532 matches the Rfam family "Bacterial large subunit ribosomal RNA", at positions 2473 to 2626 of the family's 2925-position model. The record is from RNAcentral. Lineage: Eukaryota; Metazoa; Arthropoda; Insecta; Hymenoptera; Apidae.
GUCUUAAUGAAAUUAAUAUUAAGUCAAUCUGCCCAAUGAUUAUAAAGAUUUAAUGGCUGCAGUAUACCUGACUGUACAAAGGUAGCAUAAUCAAUUGUUUUUUAAUUAAAAACUAGUAUGAAAGAAUUAAUGAGAUAUAUACUGUCUCAUAUAUAUUAAAUGAAUUUAAAAAUUUGGUAAAAAUGCUAAAAUUAUUUUAUGGGACGAUAAGACCUUAUAGAAUUUUAUAUUGAAAAUUUAAUUAAAGAAAAUUAAUUAAAUUUAUUAAUAUUUAAUUGGGAGGAUUAGUAAAUUAUAAAAACUUUAUUUUAAAAUUAAACUUAGAUUAAAGGAUUUUUUAGAUCUUGUAUUAUAAAUAAAAAGAAUAAAUUACCUUAGGGAUAACAGCGUAAUAUCUUUUAGAAGAUCAAAUUUAAAAAGAUGAUUGCGACCUCGAUGUUGAAUUAAGAUUAAUUUUAAAUGCAGGAGUUUAAAAAUUAAGUCUGUUCGACUUUUAAAAUCUUACAUGAUUUGAGUUCAAAUCGACGUGAGU